RNAcentral lists this transfer RNA (75 nucleotides) under Streptomyces zhihengii. RNAcentral describes it as "tRNA-Cys". It matches the Rfam family "tRNA". Rfam says of the family: Transfer RNA (tRNA) molecules are approximately 80 nucleotides in length. Their secondary structure includes four short double-helical elements and three loops (D, anti-codon, and T loops). Lineage: Bacteria; Bacillati; Actinomycetota; Actinomycetes; Kitasatosporales; Streptomycetaceae. RNAcentral also lists the same sequence under 1 other name. The record is from RNAcentral.
GGCCGUGUGCCCGAGUGGCUCAGGGGCACGCCUGCAAAGCGUGUUACGCGGGUUCGAUCCCCGCCACGGCCUCCA